RNAcentral lists this long non-coding RNA (1376 nucleotides) under Gallus gallus (chicken). RNAcentral's name for it is "lncRNA (ENSGALG00010028676.1)". The record is from RNAcentral. Lineage: Eukaryota; Metazoa; Chordata; Aves; Galliformes; Phasianidae.
GCCGGGCUCUGCGCGGUGACGGGACGAGGAACAACCGCCGCUUCGGGCGGACGCGUCGCGGUGCCGCCGGCGCCGGGAGGGCAGCGAGAAGCGCGACGCGUGCCAACAUGAGCGGGCGGAGCAGAUCGGAGCCGCGAUUGAGGAGCGGCACUCCCCGUAUGGGGCUCCGGCUGAUGACACCGCAGCCCGGCUUUGCCGCAUGUCGCUGCCCCGGUCCGGUUCUCACUGAAGUAACCGCGCUCGGGGUUUGCAUCAUUCCCGGCACGGCGUCGGGCGCGGAUGGCUCCGGUCCAGCGGUGCCGACGCGGAGCUGCGCGGCAGCGGUAAGAGAUCGUGGAGGAGAACCGACGGAGGGCCCCACGGUUGGGCUCCAUGGAGCUUUUCCCAGCAGUAGGACGGACCAAACCCGGAGGGGUCAACGGAGGGCAGAGCCCACAGUCACCCCCAGCGCGGAGGUGGAGGUGGGCUCCAGGCUUUGGGGCCGGUGGGACAGUCCCCCCCACUGCCCCACAGUAUGGGUGGGAGGGAUGUGAGCCCCACGUGGGGAUGGCGUGCGGUGACCUCCGGUUGGGGCACACGAGGUGACACAGCUGCGUUCCCUGCAGCCGAGCUCACAGUCCUCAGCUGCUCCGUGGCAUUACCUCCAGCCCGUGAUUUAUGCUUAUCUCGGCAGCGGAGCGCGAGCGUUAUUUCUGCCUUUUUCACCCAGAUUCUUGACGUUUGCCCGAGGCAAAGAAAGGAGAACAAGGAUUUCACCCAUGGCCAAGAGAAAGCAUCGGCUCAUCAGCACGAGCGGCGUCAUGUGGGGGCUUCUGCCUGCCACAGUUUUGGUUCCUCUGGGCGGGUUCCUGAGGCAGCACUGCUGCCAGAGCCAACUUUCCUCGAGCGCUGCUUCCCACGCACAGCUCAGCAUCCCCAUGUGCCACCACUGGGCUCUGCAUGAUCACAUCCCCAUCCCCAUCCCUGCAGCGGGGACGGGCAUGGAGCAGCUUUGUGGGGUGAGCAGCAGCUGCAUGGAGAAGCUGAAGGCACGGGGCUGCCACGCUGUCCCUGAGCAGCCCAGCUCCCAGCAGGAUGGCAAUCCCCACCGCAGGAUCUGAGUUGUGCAGGUGCUCAGGUAGGGUCCCAUCCCAUCGGCCAUCCCACCGCCCAUCCAUCACAGCGCAGUGAGUUCUGUCCCCCACAGUUCUGCUUUAGCAAUGCGUUUUUGGAGCUGCGGGCGCUCCGUGUGCUGCAAUCCCCUCCGCAUGUGAUGCACGGAGGGUCGCGUGGAGCAUCAGAGCUUUUGCAAAGCUGGAUGUUUUCCUCCCAAAGGCGCCAGCGGCGAAGCCGGAAAUUUUACUGCCCGGCAACAGCAAUAAAAUUUGUGCUUUCGG